Molecule: ribosomal RNA, 505 nt
Filed under: uncultured bacterium
Lineage: Bacteria
Description: bacterial SSU rRNA
Rfam family: Bacterial small subunit ribosomal RNA
Source: RNAcentral
GAUGAACGCUGGCGGCGUGCCUAAUACAUGCAAGUCGAACGAACUUGAGGGAGCUUGCUCCUAAGAGUUAGUGGCGAACGGGUGAGUAAUGCAUAACCAACCUGCCUAUAAGGACUGGGAUAACGUUUGGAAACGAACGCUAAAACCGGAUAGGUCAUCGGAAGGCAUCUUCUGAUGAUUAAAGGUGAGAAACACAAAUAGAUGGGGUUAUGUCGCAUUAGUUAGUUGGUGAGGUAACGGCUCACCAAGACGAUGAUGCGUAGCCGGCCUGAGAGGGUGAACGGCCACAUUGGGACUGAGACACGGCCCAAACUCCUACGGGAGGCAGCAGUAGGGAAUUUUCGGCAAUGGGCGCAAGCCUGACCGAGCAACGCCGCGUGAGUGAAGACGGCCUUCGGGUUGUAAAGCUCUGUUGUAAAGGAAGAACGGCCUGGAUAGGAUCUAGGAGUGACGGUACUUUACCAGAAAGCCACGGCUAACUACGUGCCAGCCGCCGCCGUAAUAC